This is a non-coding RNA of Hydra vulgaris (swiftwater hydra), 1053 nucleotides long. NCBI's taxonomy places the organism in Eukaryota, Metazoa, Cnidaria, Hydrozoa, Anthoathecata, Hydridae. The record is from RefSeq and is a predicted model, not a curated record.
GUUCACUUAUUUUAGUUUAAAAGACAUCUUUGUCAGACACUUGUCUUUGAAAGCCAUAGCUAUUCAAAGGCGUCUAAAUUUUAUUACGCCUAAUACAGGUCUUUAAACGUCUUUAAAAAACGCUGAGAAGAGAAAUGUUUUUUUUUUAAUAUUGUUACUCUGUAGAAGUUACUGAUAUACCUGUUACUUCAAUGAAGUUUUCAUUCUAUUUAUAAAAUAUUUUAUUUUUUCUUCAAACCUAAUAUUUGUUUAACUUUCUACAGGUAAUACUAAUAUGAAAACAAUUUUUAUUGUUUUUUGAUUUAUACUCGGGUAAAAUAUUCGUUUUCUUAUUUUAAUUUAUUGUUAAAACAUAUAUUUUUUCAUUAUUUUAUUUUAUGGUUAUUUUCAAGAGAAGGCAGAGACACCAACAAAAAGCUUUGAAGUUAAUGAUAGUGAAGAGGAGGCAGAUAAUUAUAAAAAUCUUUGCAGCUAAAGACAGUGAAGAAUCGAGUCGAAGUACUGUAGCCAGCUGGGCUACGCUCACUGGAUGAAUUGCAAAUUAAAACUGAUUUAAUACAAAGACGGCAUAAGAUAAUCAAACCAGGUAAUAAAACAAUUCACUCUAUGGAUCCUAUGGGAGAACAGAUAAAUUCCAUCAAAAAAGAAGAAGUGAAAUGGAAUAGUUGUUACUUACAACAAAGAUAUGGUGUUUCAGAAAAGUUUGAAAUAUUAACAUUACCACAUGCCAUACAAGCUGAAGUUUGCUGAAAGUUAUACAAAUGGAGAAGUAUUGGUGCGUUUCUUUCCACAUGUAGAAGUUAAUGCAUAUAGAAAGAGAGAUAAAGGAGGUCAGAAAAGUUAGCAGAAUAGUUUGAGUCGCAUUUGUGGAAGCGAAAUUGGUCAAAAAACUAGAAAAAAUCAAAAAAAAGUUAAAUGGAUCAAAUGUGAUAUUUGCAUCCAAAUCGAUGGUACCGUAUAAGAUGCAUUGUUUUUAAAAAUGAAACUUUAUUUUGUUGUGAACAUAUUUAUAUAUAAAUGUAAUAAUAAAUAAAACUUUAAAAAUUGCAGUCA